AACGAACGCUGGCGGCAUGCCUAACACAUGCAAGUCGAACGAGACCUUCGGGUCUAGUGGCGCACGGGUGCGUAACGCGUGGGAACCUGCCCUUAGGUUCGGAAUAACUCCCCGAAAGGGGUGCUAAUACCGGAUAAUGUCUUCGGACCAAAGAUUUAUCGCCUUUGGAUGGGCCCGCGUUGGAUUAGCUAGUUGGUAGGGUAAAAGCCGACCAAGGCGACGAUCCAUAGCUGGUCUGAGAGGAUGAUCAGCCACACUGGGACUGAGACACGGCCCAGACUCCUGCGGGAGGCAGCAGUGGGGAAUAUUGGACAAUGGGCGAAAGCCUGAUCCAGCAAUGCCGCGUGAGUGAUGAAGGCCUUAGGGUUGUAAAGCUCUUUUACCCGGGAUGAUAAUGGCGGUACCGGGAGAAUAAGCUCCGGCUAACUCCGUG
Molecule: ribosomal RNA, 433 nt
Filed under: uncultured bacterium
Lineage: Bacteria
Description: partial 16S ribosomal RNA
Rfam family: Bacterial small subunit ribosomal RNA
Source: RNAcentral